GGAAAAGAAACUAACAAGGAUUCCCCUAGUAACGGCGAGUGAAGCGGGAAGAGCUCAAAUUUGUAAUCUGGCGGCCUUUGGCCGUCCGAGUUGUAGUCUCGAGAAGCGUUUUCUGCGUCGGACCGUGUACAAGUCCCUUGGAACAGGGCGUCGUAGAGGGUGAGAAUCCCGUCUUUGACACGGACUGCCGGUGCUUUGUGAUGCGCUCUCAAAGAGUCGAGUUGUUUGGGAAUGCAGCUCAAAACGGGUGGUAAAUUCCAUCUAAAGCUAAAUAUUGGCGAAAGACCGAUAGCGAACAAGUACCGUGAGGGAAAGAUGAAAAGCACUUUGGAAAGAGAGUUAAACAGUACGUGAAAUUGCUGAAAGGGAAACGCUUGAAGUCAGUCGCGUCUCUCGGGACUCAGCCGUGCCCUAUCGGGCGCGGUGUACUUCCCGGGUGUGACGGGCCAGCAUCGAUUUUGGCCGUCGGAGAAAGGCCUUGGGAAUGUGGCACCUUCGGGUGUGUUAUAGCCCUGGGUCGCAUGCGACGGUCGGGAUCGAGGACCGCAGCACGUUUCUCCUUCCUUUACGGGAAUGGGGCUCGGGGUUCGCCCACGCAAACGUUGCUUAGGAUGCUUGGCGUAAUGGCUUUAAGCGACCCGUCUUG
RNAcentral lists this ribosomal RNA (646 nucleotides) under Turbinellus floccosus. Its description in RNAcentral is "eukaryotic LSU rRNA". It matches the Rfam family "Eukaryotic large subunit ribosomal RNA", at positions 55 to 656 of the family's 3401-position model. The record is from RNAcentral. Lineage: Eukaryota; Fungi; Basidiomycota; Agaricomycetes; Gomphales; Gomphaceae.